Molecule: long non-coding RNA, 871 nt
Filed under: Felis catus (domestic cat)
Lineage: Eukaryota; Metazoa; Chordata; Mammalia; Carnivora; Felidae
Description: lncRNA (ENSFCAG00000043395.2)
Source: RNAcentral
CAUUUCUCAAGUUUGCUUCCUGAUACCAGAAUUUUUAUUACUUUUCUUUCAUCUUGAUGGAGGGCCUGGGUGACUGACAGGCCCGCAUCAGAUGGAUGUCUCAUAAUUUACAAGCUGUCAUUUCUUUUUUCUAAGCAGCACCUUUUGUUAGGGAUGAUAAAACACAUCCCUCUGAGAUUUGAUUUUUUUUUUUAAUUCAAACUGGAGGAGUGAAAGUUUCCCAUGGUUACAGCUAUUGUUAUCAAAUUUUUUAAUGCCAGUCUUGGUAUGGUAAAGUCUCUAGUCCCUGGGAGGGUAGUUGAGAGGUCAGUAUCACAGUCUGUCACUGUGAGGCGACCCCAGCCUGUUCAUUAUGAAAAAUCAGAAAGACUUUUCUUUCCUGCCCGUCGAAUUGCUUUAAGAGAGCUCUGCAUAUUUUUCAGCUCUUUAUUCAGUUAAUGUUGGAUUGUAUAAACAAAGCUCACCUAUUACAUCGGCAGCAGAGCACCCUUUCUCCUUCUGGAAAUGACUACAGUCUCAGCGAGUAGUUGAGCAGUUACCAGCACCCCUGCAUGGCUUUUCCAGGUACUAAUUAAUCUGUUUUGGAAGGUAACAGCAGAAAGGUCCCAGGGGAGUAGGUUGGGAGUCUGUUGCGCUGAGCGAGUGAAAAUCAGAUUGGCUUGUAAAAAUAGAGAACUUUUAAGCCAUAGAACAUCUGUAGAUUGCACAAUAUGUAUUUGUUGUUAAUCUGCCAGUACACAUCUUUCUGACUUUUCCACUGAUAUGUUUCUUCCUUACAUAAUAUUAAAGGAAGGAAGAAUAAUGGUAGAAUUUAAGCACAUUUCUCUCGCUUAAUCUCAAAUUUAGGGUCCAGAAAAAUAUAGGGUACACG